Molecule: ribosomal RNA, 497 nt
Filed under: uncultured bacterium
Lineage: Bacteria
Description: partial 16S ribosomal RNA
Rfam family: Bacterial small subunit ribosomal RNA
Source: RNAcentral
GACGAACGCUGGCGGCGUGCCUAAUACAUGCAAGUUGAGCGCUGAAGGUUGGUACUUGUACCAACUGGAUGAGCAGCGAACGGGUGAGUAACGCGUGGGGAAUCUGCCUUUGAGCGGGGGACAACAUUUGGAAACGAAUGCUAAUACCGCAUAAAAACUUUAAACACAAGUUUUAAGUUUGAAAGAUGCAAUUGCAUCACUCAAAGAUGAUCCCGCGUUGUAUUAGCUAGUUGGUGAGGUAAAGGCUCACCAAGGCGAUGAUACAUAGCCGACCUGAGAGGGUGAUCGGCCACAUUGGGAAUGAGAAACGGCCCAAACUCCUACGGGAGGCAGCAGUAGGGAAUCUUCGGCAAUGGACGAAAGUCUGAACGAGAAACGACGCGUGAGUGAAGAAGGUUUUCGGAUCGUAAAACUCUGUUGGUAGAGAAGAACGUUGGUGAGAGUGGAAAGCUCAUCAAGUGACGGUAACUACCCAGAAAGGGACGGCUAACUACGUG